Molecule: ribosomal RNA, 540 nt
Filed under: uncultured bacterium
Lineage: Bacteria
Description: bacterial SSU rRNA
Rfam family: Bacterial small subunit ribosomal RNA
Source: RNAcentral
UGAGGAAUAUUGCGCAAUGGACGGAAGUCUGACGCAGCAAUGCCGCGUGCGGGACGAAGGUGCUAUGCAUCGUAAACCGCUGUAGCGUGGGGCAAAAAGCACCCUCGGGGUGUGAGAUGGUACCACGAAAGUAAGCAUCGGCUAACUACGUGCCAGCAGCCGCGGUAAUACGUAGGAUGCAAGCGUUGUCCGGAUUUACUGGGUGUAAAGGGUGCGCAGGCGGGACUGUAAGUCAGAGGUGAAAGCCCGGAGCUUAACUCCGGAAAUGCCUUUGAUACUGCGGUUCUUGAAUAUGACAGAGGCUCAUGGAAUAUGUGGUGUAGCGGUGAAAUGCGUAGAUAUCACAUAGAACACCAGUGGCGAAGGCGGUGAGCUGGGUCAUUAUUGACGCUCAUGCACGACAGUGUGGGGAGCAAACAGGAUUAGAUACCCUGGUAGUCCACACCGUAAACGAUGUAUGCUUGAUGUUGGGGGUGUAUGCCCUCAGUGUCGAAGGAAAUCCGAUAAGCAUACCACCUGGGAAGUACGAUCGCAAGGUUG